UAAUAUGGAGAGUUUGAUCCUGGCUCAGGAUGAACGCUGGCGGCGUGCCUAAUACAUGCAAGUCGAGCGAACUG
Molecule: ribosomal RNA, 74 nt
Filed under: Staphylococcus felis
Lineage: Bacteria; Bacillati; Bacillota; Bacilli; Caryophanales; Staphylococcaceae
Description: partial 16S ribosomal RNA
Rfam family: Bacterial small subunit ribosomal RNA
Source: RNAcentral